Molecule: long non-coding RNA, 257 nt
Organism: Lynx canadensis (Canada lynx)
Lineage: Eukaryota; Metazoa; Chordata; Mammalia; Carnivora; Felidae
Exons: 3
Source: RefSeq, a predicted model, not a curated record
CGCGCUACCGGAGACCAGGAGGAGCUCCCCUGCGGGUGUUCCUCACAGGGCGCAGAGUUUUACUGGUAUUAAAUAUGUGAAAGUUCUGGCCAUCUAUUUUCAGUCUGGCCUGUGAUCACAGAUUUGGUACUUCUGGAUGUGGGGAUUGGAUGGAUCAUGGCUGAUCGUGAAAGUUAAGAGUUUUUGAUUCCCAAUUCCAAGUUUGAUCUCCUGUUUUGCUAAAGCACAUUCUCCAAGAGGGGUUGCAAGGCAGUUCU